UGACGGUACCUUAGGAGGAAGCCCCGGCUAACUACGUGCCAGCAGCCGCGGUAAUACGUAGGGGGCGAGCGUUGUCCGGAAUGACUGGGCGUAAAGGGCGUGUAGGCGGCCUGUUAAGUUAGGAGUGAAAGUCCCGCUUUCAAGGUGGGAACUGCUUUUAAUACUGAUGGGCUUGAGUGCAGAAGAGGUAAGUGGAAUUCCCAGUGUAGCGGUGAAAUGCGUAGAGAUUGGGAGGAACACCAGUGGCGAAGGCGGCUUACUGGACGGUAACUGACGUUGAGGCUCGAAAGCGUGGGGAGCAAACAGGAUUAGAUACCCUG
RNAcentral lists this ribosomal RNA (320 nucleotides) under uncultured bacterium. RNAcentral's name for it is "bacterial SSU rRNA". It matches the Rfam family "Bacterial small subunit ribosomal RNA", at positions 470 to 789 of the family's 1533-position model. The record is from RNAcentral.